AGCAGUCGCCGCGGGAAUACGAAGGGUGCAAGCGUUACUCGGAAUUACUGGGCGUAAAGCGUGCGUAGGUGGUGGUUUAAGUCUGCUGUGAAAGCCCUGGGCUCAACCUGGGAAUUGCAGUGGAUACUGGAUCACUAGAGUGUGGUAGAGGGAUGCGGAAUUUCUGGUGUAGCAGUGAAAUGCGUAGAGAUCAGAAGGAACAUCCGUGGCGAAGGCAGCCCCCUGGGCCAAUACUGACGCUCAUGCACGAAAGCGUGGGGAGCAAACAGGAUUAGAUACCCCAGUAGUCCCUGUCUCUUAUAC
This 303-nucleotide ribosomal RNA is filed under the name uncultured bacterium. Its description in RNAcentral is "partial 16S ribosomal RNA". It matches the Rfam family "Bacterial small subunit ribosomal RNA", at positions 507 to 807 of the family's 1533-position model. The record is from RNAcentral.